Molecule: ribosomal RNA, 824 nt
Filed under: uncultured bacterium
Lineage: Bacteria
Description: bacterial SSU rRNA
Rfam family: Bacterial small subunit ribosomal RNA
Source: RNAcentral
GUCGAGCGAGAAAUUUACGAAUGAAAUUUCGAUGGAUUUUGUGAAUGGAAAGCGGCGGACGGGUGAGUAACGCGUAGGUAACCUGCCCCAUACAGAGGGAUAGCCACUGGAAACGGUGAUUAAUACCUCAUAAAACUGAGAAUACACAUGUAUGCUCAGCCAAAGAUUUAUCGGUAUGGGAUGGACCUGCGUCUGAUUAGUUAGUUGGUGAGGUAACGGCUCACCAAGGCGACGAUCAGUAGCCGACCUGAGAGGGUGAUCGGCCACAUUGGAACUGAGACACGGUCCAAACUCCUACGGGAGGCAGCAGUGGGGAAUAUUGCACAAUGGGCGAAAGCCUGAUGCAGCAACGCCGCGUGAACGAAGAAGGCUCUUGGGUCGUAAAGUUCUGUUCUGAGGGAAGAAGAAAGUGACGGUACCUCAGGAGAAAGCCCCGACUAACUACGUGCCAGCAGCCGCGGUAAUACGUAGGGGGCAAGCGUUGUCCGGAAUUAUUGGGCGUAAAGAGUACGUAGGCGGUCUGUUAAGCGCAAGGUGAAAGGCAUAGGCUCAACCAAUGUGAGCCUUGCGAACUGGCAGACUUGAGUGCAGGAGAGGAAAGCGGAAUUCCUAGUGUAGCGGUGAAAUGCGUAGAUAUUAGGAGGAACACCGGUGGCGAAGGCGGCUUUCUGGACUGAAACUGACGCUGAGGUACGAAAGCGUGGGGAGCAAACAGGAUUAGAUACCCUGGUAGUCCACGCUGUAAACGAUGAGCACUAGGUGUCGGGGUCGAAAGACUUCGGUGCCGCAGUUAACGCAAUAAGUGCUCCGCCUGGGGAGUACGC